Molecule: transfer RNA, 84 nt
Filed under: Verrucomicrobiota bacterium
Lineage: Bacteria; Pseudomonadati; Verrucomicrobiota
Also listed under: 2 other names
Description: tRNA-Leu
Rfam family: tRNA
About the family: Transfer RNA (tRNA) molecules are approximately 80 nucleotides in length. Their secondary structure includes four short double-helical elements and three loops (D, anti-codon, and T loops). Further hydrogen bonds mediate the characteristic L-shaped molecular structure. tRNAs have two regions of fundamental functional importance: the anti-codon, which is responsible for specific mRNA codon recognition, and the 3' end, to which the tRNAs corresponding amino acid is attached (by aminoacyl-tRNA synthetases). tRNAs cope with the degeneracy of the genetic code in two manners: having more than one tRNA (with a specific anti-codon) for a particular amino acid; and 'wobble' base-pairing, i.e. permitting non-standard base-pairing at the 3rd anti-codon position.
Source: RNAcentral
GCUCGGGUGGCGGAACUGGUAGACGCGCUAGACUAAGGAUCUAGUCCAAGCAAUUGGGUGCAGGUUCGAUUCCUGUCUCGAGCA